CGAACGGGUGAGUAACGCGUGAGGAACCUGCCUCAAAGAGGGGGACAACAGUUGGAAACGACUGCUAAUACCGCAUAAGCCCACGGCUCGGCAUCGAGCAGAAGGAAAAGGAGCAAUCCGCUUUGAGAUGGCCUCGCGUCCGAUUAGCUAGUUGGUGAGGUAACGGCCCACCAAGGCGACGAUCGGUAGCCGGACUGAGAGGUUGAACGGCCACAUUGGGACUGAGACACGGCCCAG
RNAcentral lists this ribosomal RNA (237 nucleotides) under uncultured bacterium. Its description in RNAcentral is "partial 16S ribosomal RNA". It matches the Rfam family "Bacterial small subunit ribosomal RNA", at positions 99 to 334 of the family's 1533-position model. The record is from RNAcentral.